CUCCAACCCCUGUGACAUACCUUAAUGUUGCCUCGGCGGAUCAGCCCGCGCCCCGUAAAACGGGACGGCCCGCCAGAGGACCCAAACUCUAAUGUUUCUUAUUGUAACUUCUGAGUAAAACAAACAAAUAAAUCAAAACUUUCAACAACGGAUCUCUUGGUUCUGGCAUCGAUGAAGAACGCAGCAAAAUGCGAUAAGUAAUGUGAAUUGCAGAAUUCAGUGAAUCAUCGAAUCUUUGAACGCACAUUGCGCCCGCUGGUAUUCCGGCGGGCAUGCCUGUUCGAGCGUCAUUUCAACCCUCAAGCCCCCGGGUUUGGUGUUGGGGAUCGGCUCUGCCCUUCUGGGCGGUGCCGCCCCCGAAAUACAUUGGCGGUCUCGCUGCAGCCUCCAUUGCGUAGUAGCUAACACCUCGCAACUGGAACGCGGCGCGGCCAUGCCGUAAAACCCCAACUUCUGAAUGUUGACCUCGGAUCAGGUAGGAAUACCCGCUGAACUUAAGCAUGUCAAUAAGCGGAGGAAAAGAAACCAACAGGGAUUGCCCUAGUAACGGCGAGUGAAGCGGCAACAGCUCAAAUUUGAAAUCUGGCUUUCGGGCCCGAGUUGUAAUUUGUAGAGGAUACUUUUGAUGCGGUGCCUUCCGAGUUCCCUGGAACGGGACGCCAUAGAGGGUGAGAGCCCCGUCUGGUUGGAUGCCAAAUCUCUGUAAAGUUCCUUCGACGAGUCGAGUAGUUUGGGAAUGCUGCUCUAAAUGGGAGGUAUAUGUCUUCUAAAGCUAAAUAUUGGCCAGAGACCGAUAGCGCACAAGUAGAGUGAUCGAAAGAUG
RNAcentral lists this ribosomal RNA (823 nucleotides) under uncultured Fusarium. Its description in RNAcentral is "eukaryotic LSU rRNA". The stretch from base 462 to 823 matches the Rfam family "Eukaryotic large subunit ribosomal RNA", at positions 1 to 366 of the family's 3401-position model. The record is from RNAcentral. Lineage: Eukaryota; Fungi; Ascomycota; Sordariomycetes; Hypocreales; Nectriaceae.